AGGAUUAGAUACCCUGGUAGUCCACGCCGUAAACGAUGUCGACUUGGAGGUUGUUCCCUUGAGGAGUGGCUUCCGGAGCUAACGCGUUAAGUCGACCGCCUGGGGAGUACGGCCGCAAGGUUAAAACUCAAAUGAAUUGACGGGGGCCCGCACAAGCGGUGGAGCAUGUGGUUUAAUUCGAUGCAACGCGAAGAACCUUACCUACUCUUGACAUCCAGAGAACUUAGCAGAGAUGCUUUGGUGCCUUCGGGAACUCUGAGACAGGUGCUGCAUGGCUGUCGUCAGCUCGUGUUGUGAAAUGUUGGGUUAAGUCCCGCAACGAGCGCAACCCUUAUCCUUUGUUGCCAGCGAUUCGGUCGGGAACUCAAAGGAGACUGCCGGUGAUAAACCGGAGGAAGGUGGGGAUGACGUCAAGUCAUCAUGGCCCUUACGAGUAGGGCUACACACGUGCUACAAUGGCGCAUACAAAGAGAAGCGACCUCGCGAGAGCAAGCGGACCUCAUAAAGUGCGUCGUAGUCCGGAUCGGAGUCUGCAACUCGACUCCGUGAAGUCGGAAUCGCUAGUAAUCGUGGAUCAGAAUGCCACGGUGAAUACGUUCCCGGGCCUUGUACACACCGCCCGUCACACCAUGGGAGUGGGUUGCAAAAGAAGUAGGUAGCUUAACCUUCGGGAGGGCGCUUACCACUUUGUGAUUCAUGACUGGGGUGAAGUCGUAACAAGGUAAC
This 726-nucleotide ribosomal RNA is filed under the name Pantoea sp. RNAcentral's name for it is "bacterial SSU rRNA". It matches the Rfam family "Bacterial small subunit ribosomal RNA", at positions 774 to 1500 of the family's 1533-position model. Lineage: Bacteria; Pseudomonadati; Pseudomonadota; Gammaproteobacteria; Enterobacterales; Erwiniaceae. The record is from RNAcentral.